Molecule: non-coding RNA, 113 nt
Organism: Acanthosepion pharaonis
Lineage: Eukaryota; Metazoa; Mollusca; Cephalopoda; Sepiida; Sepiidae
Source: the annotation of a GenBank genome assembly
UCGACCAUAUAACGUUGAAACUCUGCUUCCCGUACGAUCACCAAAGUUAAGCAAUGUCCUGCCUGGCCAGUUACCUAGAUGGGUGACUGCUUGAGAAUAGCAGGUGCUGUAAG